Molecule: ribosomal RNA, 497 nt
Filed under: uncultured bacterium
Lineage: Bacteria
Description: partial 16S ribosomal RNA
Rfam family: Bacterial small subunit ribosomal RNA
Source: RNAcentral
GAUGAACGCUGGCGGCGUGCCUAAUACAUGCAAGUCGAGCGAACAGACGAGGAGCUUGCUCCUCUGACGUUAGCGGCGGACGGGUGAGUAACGCGUGGAUAACCUACCUAUAAGACUGGGAUAACUUCGGGAAACCGGAGCUAAUACCGGAUAAUAUAUUGAACCGCAUGGUUCAAUAGUGAAAGACGGUUUUGCUGUCACUUAUAGAUGGAUCCGCGCCGCAUUAGCUAGUUGGUAAGGUAACGGCUUACCAAGGCGACGAUGCGUAGCCGACCGGAGAGGGUGAUCGGCCACACUGGAACUGAGACACGGUCCAGACUCCUACGGGAGGCAGCAGUAGGGAAUCUUCCGCAAUGGGCGAAAGCCUGACGGAGCAACGCCGCGUGAGUGAUGAAGGUCUUCGGAUCGUAAAACUCUGUUAUUAGGGAAGAACAAAUGUGUAAGUAACUAUGCACGUCUUGACGGUACCUAAUCAGAAAGCCACGGCUAACUACGUG